Molecule: ribosomal RNA, 388 nt
Filed under: Micraspis yunnanensis
Lineage: Eukaryota; Metazoa; Arthropoda; Insecta; Coleoptera; Coccinellidae
Description: partial 16S ribosomal RNA
Source: RNAcentral
UCAUUAGUUUUUUAAUUGAAAGCUUGAAUGAAUGGUUUAAUGAAAAAAUAACUUUCUUUAUUUUAAUAAAAAAAUUUUAUUUUUAAGUUCAAAAGCUUAAAUUUUUAUAAAAGACGAGAAGACCCUAUAGAGUUUUAUUAUUAAAAUUUUAUUAAUUGAGGAAUUUAAUUUAAUAAGAUUUAAAAUAAUUUGAUUGGGGUGAUUAAAAAAUUAAAGAAACUUUUUUAAAAUAAAUACAUUGAUUUAUGAAUUUAUGAUCCAAAAUAUUGAUUAAAAGAAUAAAUUACCUUAGGGAUAACAGCGUUAUUUUCUUUUAGAGUUCAAAUCGAAAAGAAAGAUUGCGACCUCGAUGUUGGAUUAAAGAAAGUUUUAGGUGCAGAAGCUUAAA